Molecule: ribosomal RNA, 229 nt
Filed under: uncultured bacterium
Lineage: Bacteria
Description: partial 16S ribosomal RNA
Rfam family: Bacterial small subunit ribosomal RNA
Source: RNAcentral
CGGGGUGAGUAAUGUCUGGGAAACUGCCUGAUGGAGGGGGAUAACUACUGGAAACGGUAGCUAAUACCGCAUAACGUCUUCGGACCAAAGUGGGGGACCUUCGGGCCUCACGCCAUCGGAUGUGCCCAGAUGGGAUUAGCUAGUAGGCGGGGUAAUGGCUCACCUAGGCGACGAUCCCUAGCUGGUCUGAGAGGAUGACCAGCCACACUGGAACUGAGACACGGUCCAG